Molecule: ribosomal RNA, 439 nt
Filed under: Nocardioides sp. R-42658
Lineage: Bacteria; Bacillati; Actinomycetota; Actinomycetes; Propionibacteriales; Nocardioidaceae
Description: bacterial SSU rRNA
Rfam family: Bacterial small subunit ribosomal RNA
Source: RNAcentral
CCUGGCUCAGGACGAACGCUGGCGGCGUGCUUAACACAUGCAAGUCGAGCGGAAAGGCCACUUCGGUGGUACUCGAGCGGCGAACGGGUGAGUAACACGUGAGUAAUCUGCCCCUGGCUUUGGGAUAGCCACCGGAAACGGUGAUUAAUACCGGAUAUGACAUUUGACCGCAUGGUUGGGUGUGGAAAGUUUUUCGGCCAGGGAUGUGCUCGCGGCCUAUCAGCUUGAUGGUGAGGUAAUGGCUCACCAUGGCUUCGACGGGUAGCCGGCCUGAGAGGGUGACCGGUCACACUGGGACUGAGACACGGCCCAGACUCCUACGGGAGGCAGCAGUGGGGAAUAUUGGACAAUGGGCGGAAGCCUGAUCCAGCAACGCCGCGUGAGGGAUGACGGCCUUCGGGUUGUAAACCUCUUUCGGUGGGGACGAAGCGCAAGUGAC